GCAUAUCAAUAAGCGGAGGAAAAGAAACUAACAAGGAUUCCCCUAGUAACUGCGAGUGAAGCGGGAAAAGCUCAAAUUUAAAAUCUGGCGGUCCUUGUGGCCGUCCGAGUUGUAAUUUAGAGAAGUGUUAUCCGCGCUGGACCGUGUACAAGUCUCCUGGAAUGGAGCGUCAUAGAGGGUGAGAAUCCCGUCUUUGACACGGACUGCCAGGGCAUUGUGAUGCGCUCUCGAAGAGUCGAGUUGUUUGGGAAUGCAGCUCAAAAUGGGUGGUAAAUUCCAUCUAAAGCUAAAUAUUGGGGAGAGACCGAUAGCGAACAAGUACCGUGAGGGAAAGAUGAAAAGAACUUUGGAAAGAGAGUUAAACAGUACGUGAAAUUGCUGAAAGGGAAACGCUUGAAGUCAGUCGCGUCGCUCAGGACUCAGCCUUGCUUUUUGCUUGGUGUACUUCCUGUUCGAUGGGUCAGCAUCAAUUUUGGUCGGUGGAUAAAGGCUUAGAGAAUGUGGCAUCUUCGGGUGUGUUAUAGCUCUGGGUCGCAUACAUCGGCUGGGAUUGAGGAACUCAGCACGCCGCAAGGCCGGGGACUUGUCCCACGUACGUGCUUAGGAUGCUGGCAUAAUGGCUUUAAUCGACCCGUCUUGAAACACGGACCAAGGAGUCUAACAUGCCUGCGAGUGUUUGGGUGGAAAACCCGAGCGCGUAAUGAAAGUGAAAGUUGAGAUCCCUGUCGCGGGGAGCAUCGACGCCCGGAGCAGACCUUUUGUGACGCAUCCGCGGUAGAGCAUGUAUGUUGGGACCCGAAAGAUGGUGAACUAUGCCUGAAUAGGGUGAAGCCAGAGGAAAACUCUGGUGGAGGCUCGUAGCGAUUCUGACGUGCAAAUCGAUCGUCGAAUUUGGGUAUAGGGGGCGAAAGACUAAUCGAACCAUCUAGUAGCUGGUUCCUGCCGAA
Molecule: ribosomal RNA, 947 nt
Filed under: Mycena polygramma
Lineage: Eukaryota; Fungi; Basidiomycota; Agaricomycetes; Agaricales; Mycenaceae
Description: LSU rRNA
Rfam family: Eukaryotic large subunit ribosomal RNA
Source: RNAcentral